RNAcentral lists this ribosomal RNA (420 nucleotides) under uncultured bacterium. RNAcentral describes it as "bacterial SSU rRNA". It matches the Rfam family "Bacterial small subunit ribosomal RNA", at positions 360 to 773 of the family's 1533-position model. The record is from RNAcentral.
AAUUUUUCUCAAUGGGGGAAACCCUGAAGGAGCGACGCCGCGUGGGGGAUGAAUGGCUUCGGCCCGUAAACCCCUGUCAUUUGCUAACAAACCUUUCCGGAUAACACCCGGAGAGCUGCUUGUAGCGGAAGAGGAAGGGACGGCUAACUCUGUGCCAGCAGCCGCGGUAAUACAGAGGUCCCAAGCGUUGUUCGGAUUCACUGGGCGUAAAGGGUGCGUAGGUGGUCGGGUAAGUCUGAUGUGAAAUCUCUGGGCUCAACCCAGAAAUGGCAUUGGAUACUAUCUGGCUAGAGGAGUGGAGGGGGAACUGGAAUACUUGGUGUAGCAGUGAAAUGCGUAGAUAUCAAGUGGAACACCAGUGGCGAAGGCGAGUUCCUGGACACUUCCUGACACUGAGGCACGAAAGCUAGGGGAGCAAAC